GACGAACGCUGGCGGCGUGCUUAACACAUGCAAGUCGAACGGAAAGGCCUGCUUUCCCUUGUGGAUUGCGGGUACUCGAGUGGCGAACGGGUGAGUAACACGUGAGUGAUCUGCCCCCAACUCGGGUAUAAGCCUGGGAAACUGCGUCUAAUUCCCGAUAGGACUGCAGGGUUGUUCCUGUGGUGGAAUACGAUUUUCUCGUGGUUGGGGAUGAGCUCGCGGCCUAUCAGCUUGUUGGUGGGGUAAUGGCCUACCAAGGCGGCGACGGGUAGCCGGCCGGAGAGGGAGGACGGCCAGAUUGGAGAUGAGGUACAGACCAGGAUGCUACGGGGGGGAGGAGUAGGGAAGAUUGCGCGCGGGAGGGAGACCUAGUGAUGCGGCGUGUGGUGAGAAGUGACGGGCUUCGGGUUGUAAACUACUUUGGGACGCGGGGCAGCCACCUGGUUGGAAGGGGGGUGACGGUAGUGAUAGAAGAAGCAACGGCUAACUACGGG
RNAcentral lists this ribosomal RNA (494 nucleotides) under uncultured bacterium. RNAcentral's name for it is "partial 16S ribosomal RNA". It matches the Rfam family "Bacterial small subunit ribosomal RNA", at positions 28 to 507 of the family's 1533-position model. The record is from RNAcentral.